Molecule: long non-coding RNA, 388 nt
Filed under: Triticum aestivum (bread wheat)
Lineage: Eukaryota; Viridiplantae; Streptophyta; Magnoliopsida; Poales; Poaceae
Description: long non-coding RNA (TAES_LNC001685)
Source: RNAcentral
UGGCCAGGAAGACGAAGCUGGGCGCGACCUCGCUGGGCUGCCCCGCGCGCUUCAUGGGCACCUCGGAUCCAAACUGCUUCACCUUCUCCUCCGGGAAGGAGGCCGGGAUGAGCGGCGUCCAGAUGGGCCCCGGCGCCACGCCGUUGACGCGGAUCUCCUUCUCCGCCAGCUGCAUCGACAGCGCGCGGGUGAAGGCCACGAUGGCGCCCUUGGUGGCCGUGUAGUCCAGCAGCGUCGCGUUGCCCUUGUACGCGUUCACGGAGGUGGUGUUGAUGAUGCUGGACCCGGGCCCCAUGUGCUUCACCGCGAACUUGGCCAUGAGGAAGUAGGAGAAGAUGUUGGUGCGGAACACGCGCUCCAGGUCCUGCUCGCUGAUCUCGGUGAUGCA